RNAcentral lists this ribosomal RNA (497 nucleotides) under uncultured bacterium. Its description in RNAcentral is "partial 16S ribosomal RNA". It matches the Rfam family "Bacterial small subunit ribosomal RNA", at positions 28 to 507 of the family's 1533-position model. The record is from RNAcentral.
GAUGAACGCUGGCGGCGUGCCUAAUACAUGCAAGUCGAGCGAACGGACGAGAGGCUUGCUUCUCUGAUGUUAGCGGCGGACGGGUGAGUAACACGUGGAUAACCUACCUAUAAGACUGGGAUAACUUCGGGAAACCGGAGCUAAUACCGGAUGAUAUUUUGAACCGCACGGUUCAAAAGUGAAAGACGGUCUUGCUGUCACUUAUAGAUGGAUCCGCGCUGCACUAGCUAGUUGGUAAGGUAACGGCUUACCAAGGCAGCGAUGCAUAGCCGACCUGAGAGGGUGAUCGGCCACACUGGAACUGAGACACGGUCCAGACUCCUACGGGAGGCAGCAGUAGGGAAUCUUCCGCAAUGGGCGAAAGCCUGACGGAGCAACGCCGCGUGAGUGAUGAAGGUCUUCGGAUCGUAAAACUCUGUUAUUAGGGAAGAACAUAUGUGUAAGUAACUGUGCACAUCUUGACGGUACCUAAUCAGAAAGCCACGGCUAACUACGUG